Molecule: non-coding RNA, 74 nt
Organism: Parelaphostrongylus tenuis
Lineage: Eukaryota; Metazoa; Nematoda; Chromadorea; Rhabditida; Metastrongylidae
Source: the annotation of a GenBank genome assembly
GCGUUGGUAGUGCAACGGUUCAGCAUGAGCCCCCCUGAUAGGGUGAAAUAGGGGUUCAAAUCCCAUCUAACGCA